RNAcentral lists this small nucleolar RNA (137 nucleotides) under Mola mola (ocean sunfish). RNAcentral describes it as "Small nucleolar RNA SNORA22 (ENSMMOG00000013096.1)". The record is from RNAcentral. Lineage: Eukaryota; Metazoa; Chordata; Actinopteri; Tetraodontiformes; Molidae.
AUGCACAGCGAACACCCAGGGAUGCUCAUGUGGCUCUCCCUGGUCUCUCAUGGCUGUGCUACAGUGAUCCUGGUCUUUUCCUCUGCAUUUUGAGAGUUUCAAUCUCUCCGACAUGUAUUCAGCUGACCAGAACAAAC